Molecule: ribosomal RNA, 831 nt
Filed under: uncultured bacterium
Lineage: Bacteria
Description: bacterial SSU rRNA
Rfam family: Bacterial small subunit ribosomal RNA
Source: RNAcentral
GGCCGCGGGAUUAGAGUUUGAUCCUGGCUCAGAGCGAACGCUGGCGGCGUGCUUAACACAUGCAAGUCGAACGAGGUCUGUAGCAAUACAGAUACUCGUGGCGAACGGGUGCGUAACACGUGGAUAACCUUCCUUCAGGUGGGGAAUAACCCAGUGAAAAUUGGGCUAAUACCGCAUAACAUGACGAUGCCACAUGGUGUUGUCUUCAAAGGCGCAAGUCGCCAGAAGAGGGAUCCGCGGCCGAUUAGCUAGUUGGCGAGGUAAUGGCUCACCAAGGCAAUGAUCGGUAGCCGGACUGAGAGGUUGGCCGGCCACACUGGAACUGAGACACGGUCCAGACUCCUACGGGAGGCAGCAGUGGGGAAUCUUGCACAAUGGACGAAAGUCUGAUGCAGCAACGCCGCGUGGGGGAUGAAGCUUUUCGGAGUGUAAACCCCUUUCGACCCGGAAGAAAGCCCGCAAGGGUUUGACGGUACGGGUAUAAGAAGCCCCGGCUAACUACGUGCCAGCAGCCGCGGUAAAACGUAGGGGGCCAGCGUUGCUCGGAAUUACUGGGCGUAAAGGGUCCGUAGGCGGUGUGGCAAGUUGGUAGUGAAAUCUCUGGGCUUAACCCAGAGGCUGCUGCCAAAACUGCCAUGCUAGAGUGUGAGAGAGGCGAGUGGAAUUACGGGUGUAGCGGUGAAAUGCGUAGAUAUCCGUAGGAACAUCCGAGGCGAAGGCGGCUCGCUGGAUCACAACUGACGCUGAGGGACGAAAGCUAGGGGAGCAAACAGGAUUAGAUACCCUGGUAGUCCUAGCCCUAAACCAUCAGGACUUGGGGUGUGCCCUGUA